UUUUCUUCUUCUCUUUCUUCUUUUUUCCUCUUCUCCUUCUUUCUGUCGAUCUCAGUUCUGAAGAACUGAGUUAUCUAUGUGUGAGAUGUUCUUAGAAAGUUAGUUAGCUUGUUGAAUCGAGGAAGAUGAAGUAAGAACUGAGGUCGUUUGAGUUCCAGGAGAAGAAGAAGGUGAUGUUGAUCUUGAAUCGAAGUUAGGGUUUUUGUUAUGGAAAGAUUAGGAAGGGUUCUGAGAUCGAGAUAAGAAGAGACUAAUUUAGAAUCAAGUGUUUGUGGUGGUGUUGAUUAGGGUUGAUGUUUCAGAAUCGAAAAAAGUUACUCUCUAUUAACAACGAUCGAUUCAAAGGAUGAACUAGUAUAUGGAGGAAUCCAAGGUAGGAGUUGGCUUGUCAUCAAAUCAGGUGGGAAAUCUGUAACCUUCUUGUAAUCAUUAAGCAUUCUUUCUAUUGCCAGCAUGAUGAGUCUUUAUUACUUUUGGCAUGUUUGUGUGUUUUACUAUCUAUGUAAAUACUUGUAUGUGCCUUGUUGUACGUGUAAUAUGCGUUGUAUGAUUUUCUCGCAAUGAGUGUUUGUGAUUCCCCACGGCUCUUUGCGAAGUUAAGUAAGGUGGUUUCUUCCCCGUUUUAAUAUUA
Long non-coding RNA from Papaver somniferum (opium poppy), 631 nucleotides. RefSeq lists it as uncharacterized. Lineage: Eukaryota; Viridiplantae; Streptophyta; Magnoliopsida; Ranunculales; Papaveraceae. The transcript is spliced from 2 exons. The record is from RefSeq and is a predicted model, not a curated record.